AGCAGUGUGUUCCACAAUGUUUUUUUCUGGGCUUCAAGUCCUGUGAUACACUCAGAACUGUGAAUCUCCUGUGCUUAGUGUAAGCUCAGUUCCUCUGGCCCCCUUCUCUUCUGUACCAACUACUUUUCUGACUGUUUCCUGUCCAUGGAGUUAUGAAGGCUACAGUUCUGGGAGGUGACAACAGCCUGUGGUUAUUUGUUCUCCCAGGAGACAUAACAGGCAUAUAGGAAUUCUGUGGGAAUUUCAAGCAGGGUCUAAAACAAAUUGUAUAAGCUGUGUAACUUUUCCACCUAAAAAUCCACCUUGAUUUUUCCACCUAAAAACUACGGGAUUUUGACUCACUCUUGAUUGCAAGAUUUUUAGUCCUUCCUGGAUGGUGCUAAAAAGAGCAAGAGUGAAGAUUUUCCACUGCAUUUGGAGGUAUGGACAAACAUAGCGGUUACCACAAGAUCAUGUGCAAAAAUAACUUCAACAGAUUAUUGGUAAUACCAAAAGCACAUAUUUAGGGAAAGAAAAACACUUUUGGUAUUAUAAUAGCAUCUCAAUAAAAAGAACAGAAACUUCAUCUUUUAA
Long non-coding RNA from Vidua macroura (Pin-tailed whydah), 573 nucleotides. RefSeq lists it as uncharacterized. NCBI's taxonomy places the organism in Eukaryota, Metazoa, Chordata, Aves, Passeriformes, Viduidae. The record is from RefSeq and is a predicted model, not a curated record. The transcript is spliced from 3 exons.